GUUCCAUGUGCUUUUUAAAAACUCAUUUUUCCCUUAGUAUUUCAAGAGUUUGCAACUCGUAAAUCGCAAGGAGGAGGGACAAAAAUUUAGAAAUCUAGGGCGCCUUAAAAGCCUAUUUUUGCCUUGGUGUUUUAUACUCUCACGGCUCGUAAACCGAGUAAAAAAAAUUGAAAUGUCCUCAAUUAUAAUCAAGGCUUCUUUCAAAGAUUUGUGAUGACUUAUUAUUUCUAGAAAAUUAUUUUGGAUAUUUACCACUUAGGGUUUCUUUAUCCAAAUAUUAACAGUGAAUAAUAACAAGUUAUUCCCUUUAAAUAUUUUGGAUAUUCAUCCCUUUGGGAUUUCUUUAUCCAAACAUUAAUGGUGAAUAAUAUAGAUGAAUUCCCCCCAAAAUAAAAAUUUUGUAUUUUUUGGAAUAUUGACCAAUACCUUUUGGAGUUUUACAAACAUGUUGUAAAAUCCAGAAAUGCAAGAAAAUAAUUUUUGUUGUGUUUAAGAAAUCCAUGCGAAAACGCUUGUUCGAAGCCUUGGUUUUUUUUAUAAAAAAAGAACGUUCAAAACAUGUUAGGGUAUUGGCCGUAUGCAACACACAAAAAUAUUUUUUUAUAUUUUCUUUAUCAAAAACACAAACAUCAUAGUAAAUCAUAAUUAAAAUCAACAAACCACAAAUUAAUCAAAUUCUUAAGGCUUUAAUAAAUCAAUUAUUAAUUCCCAAAAAAUAUAUAGAAACAUGUUCUUACAUUUUCAUAGGAAAUACAACAUGAUUUUAUUUGUCCCUAAAAUACUUGAUCAUAUGCAAAUUAAAACAUUAAAUUCAUUUUUUUUUGUCUUUUUGAUUUUUUAAUUCAAUAACAUUCAUAAAAAAAAAAUACAAACACACACACAUCCCUUUUUAUUAUGUUUUUUUCUCAUACACCCAUAUAUAAUUAUAAAUAACAAAAAUUUAAAAUAAAACAAACAACACAUCACACAAAUAAAAAAAUUACAAAAUAGCCCUAAAACAAUCUGGAAUUACAGGGAAGGCCUUCUGCACCACCGAAACAGUGGCAGCGCGUCUCCUCCACACGCCACCACCACUGGUGGCGCGUGGGUUCACGCGCCUCCGCAGGGAACGUCUGGUUUGGGUGGAUCUAGCCUGGCUUCUUCUCCUCUUCCCUUCCUCGCCGGCGGUGAAGAUCACUGUCACCUGCAACAAGAGUAAAACACACAAACAACAGUUGAUUUUAAGUUUUUGUUUCUUGUUCACGAUCUGUUUUCUUUCUCUUCUUCUCCGUUUUGGAUCUGCUUCUCUCUACAGAUCUGUUCUUUUCUUUUCCUUUCCCAUUGUUCUCUGUCUUAGGUGGCGGCAAGACCAAGGGGGCCGCCGGCUGCUAGGCUUUGGGUUUCCGUCCGGUCUGUGCAGCUGUUGGUGGCCAGUUCGUGUCUUGGCGAAGACGACGACCUACAGACUGCUCCCUUUUGGUUGGAGGGGAAUGAGCAGAUCGGGGUGAAUGGCCUAUGGGGCUGCUGUCCUUUGGCUGGUUCCAGGGCCGGUUGAAGGAGAUGAAGGAAAGAACGGGGUGGCCGGGUUUUCACAAGCUGCGCGAUGAUGGUGAAGGAGAAACGACUUAGUGAGAGAUGGGAAACGGUAGCUCUUGUUCUGUGAGCUGGAGGAUGACAGAUCGGUGAAGAUGAAGAAGGCUGGUUUGGGUGGUAUGUGGGGGAAGAUGGGGACGGCUGAGAGAGGGAAGAAAGGCCGGGAGAGUAGAGUGAUGGGGGCUCGGGUCGGCUGAGAGGAGACUAUUGAUCUAUGACCGGCUGAAGAGGGAAACCAAAAAUUCUCCAAGGCCAAAGCGGAGUUUUCUCUAGUUUGGCUAAAGGGAGGAGAGCUCGUGAUGGGAGAGUCAGCCAGAUGAAGGAGAAGGGGCUGGUCUCCGUGUAAAAAUAAAUCAAAGGCCAAGGGUGGGGGCGCGGCUUGGUUUUGGCCGACUACAAAAAAAUUAGGUUUAGGUUUUUUUCGUGGUUGCCCUAAAUUUCUCUCUUUAAAAAUUGUCCUAUGUCAAUUUUUCUUCCCCCCUGCAUAUGGCUGGAUGUUUAAGGAAAUAUUACAAUAAUUAUUGCAGAGAUUGUCUUCUAUAACCAGCACCAACAAAUCCUAUAUAUAUG
This 2142-nucleotide long non-coding RNA is filed under the name Populus trichocarpa (black cottonwood). RNAcentral's name for it is "long non-coding RNA (PTRI_LNC000196)". The record is from RNAcentral. Lineage: Eukaryota; Viridiplantae; Streptophyta; Magnoliopsida; Malpighiales; Salicaceae.